AAGGGGCCGUAGCCGGUUUGGUCAGUCCUCCGGGAAAUCUGACGGCUCAACCGUUAGGCUUUCGGGGGAUACUGCCAGGCUUGGAACCGGGAGAGGUAAGAGGUACUACAGGGGUAGGAGUGAAAUCUUGUAAUCCCUGUGGGACCACCUGUGGCGAAGGCGUCUUACCAGAACGGGUUCGACGGUGAGGGACGAAAGCUGGGGGCACGAACCGGAUUAGAUACCCGGGUAGUCCCAGCCGUAAACGAUGCUCGCUAGGUGUCAGGCAUGGCGCGACCGUGUCUGGUGCCGCAGGGAAGCCGUGAAGCGAGCCACCUGGGAAGUACGGCCGCAAGGCUGAAACUUAAAGGAAUUGGCGGGGGAGCACAACAACGGGUGGAGCCUGCGGUUCAAUUGGACUCAACGCCGGACAACUCACCGGGGGCGACAGCAAUAUGUAGGCCAAGCUGAAGACUUUGCCUGAAUCGCUGAGAGGAGGUGCAUGGCCGUCGCCAGUUCGUACUGUGAAGCAUCCUGUUAAGUCAGGCAACGAGCGAGACCCGUGCCCACUGUUACCAGCAUAUCCUCCGGGAUGAUGGGUACUCUGUGGGGACCGCCGGUGUUAAAUCGGAGGAAGGUGCGGGCCACGGU
RNAcentral lists this ribosomal RNA (630 nucleotides) under uncultured Methanosarcina sp. RNAcentral's name for it is "bacterial SSU rRNA". It matches the Rfam family "Archaeal small subunit ribosomal RNA", at positions 513 to 1142 of the family's 1478-position model. The record is from RNAcentral. Lineage: Archaea; Methanobacteriati; Methanobacteriota; Methanomicrobia; Methanosarcinales; Methanosarcinaceae.